Molecule: long non-coding RNA, 1174 nt
Filed under: Anser cygnoides (Swan goose)
Lineage: Eukaryota; Metazoa; Chordata; Aves; Anseriformes; Anatidae
Description: lncRNA (ENSACDG00005000131.1)
Source: RNAcentral
GGUAUAGGAUGCUUUCCCUAGAAACGGACACAUUAAAUGCUCUGCAGUCUCGGCUCAGCCAUGUGAAGCAGCCAUGCAGCACUGGAUAAAUGAGUGGGCAUCUGAGAUCAUGGGUGACUGCAGCACACAGAGAAAGUCAUGCAAAAGGAAGACGCAGCUUAAGUGCCACAUCACGAACGUGUGCACGUGGUUUGGGCAGUUCAAAGACAGUUCCUUCAGUGAUGGGCAGUGCUAUUAUCUGAUAAUACCUGAAAUCACUUUAUUAGGUGCUACGUCCUGCCUCGGGUGAAUUAUUCCAGUGCUGUGACUCAGGAGAGCAGUUGCUGCUGGGGUGAUGGUCUGCACCUGCCGCUGGUGUCUCCUGGCACACAGGAUGAAGCCCAUGGGCCAUGCCAAUGCUGCAGCUGGAGCACAGCUGCCGAGCCCGAGCAGCUCGGCUCACGCUUGUCCCGCCGAGCACGAGGCCCCGCGCUCUCCAGGAACACUCCUGUUGGCAUGGACCGGAGUCCUGCAGGUUGGAAAGCACACGGUGCCCGAGGAGAGUGCUCAAAUACCUCUGACACCGAGACCCUCUCCCAAGUCAGAAGCUACAGUGAACUCAUCUGACAGGCAAACACGGCCACGCCGGUGUGCGAACAAACGGCAGCAUCUGUCCGCCUGGCUUCAGUGGUGCUCCUCGUGCGAGGGCUGCGCUCCAAACGCCGGCGGUGCCCGGAGCCUCGGAGCCAAGUGCUCGCUCUGUGCUCCAGCGCGGGGCGCAGCCUCCCCGCUGCACCCAGGUGGUAGCUGUUUGUUUCCCUGGCUGGAACCCCCGGGGUGCAGAAGUCAUCUCUCCUGGUCUUGUGUGAGGCUUCGCCCCCACAAAUCUGUGCACAGAGAGAGGAAGGUGCUGCUGCCAGGCCACGCCUCUGCAGAGCCAGGUGCGAGCCCCCCGUGCAUGCCUGGAGCUGGGUCUUGGGGCGGUGUGAGCCUGCGCACGCCUCCAUCCAUCGUCUCCAGCCAGGGUGCUCGCCCCAGGGCCGCGCUGCCCACCCGCUGCACACCCCAGGAGACACAGCAGCACUCAGAACCCUCUCAUGCUCAUCCUUCUCCAGUACUGCAGCCUCUUCUGCAGGUCUUGGCUGGCUCCAGCAGGGAAUUUGAAGGCUCUCUUCCCAGCCAUCGCUUGGGCUAG